AAACACGGACCAAGGAGUCUAGCAUGUGCGCGAGUCAUUGGGACAUAACUAAACCUAAAGGCGCAAUGAAAGUAAAAGUCCGCCUUGCGCGGACAGAGGGAAGAUGGGCGCAGGUCGUAACAAGCCUCGUCCCGCAUUCCCGGGGCGUCUCGUUCUCAUUGCGAGAAGAGGCGCACCAAGAGCGUACACGCUGGGACCCGAAAGAUGGUGAACUAUGCCUGGUCAGGACGAAGUCAGGGGAAACCCUGAUGGAGGUCCGUAGCGAUUCUGACGUGCAAAUCGAUCGUCGGAACUGGGUAUAGGGGCGAAAGACUAAUCGAACCAUCUAGUAGCUGGUUCCCUCCGAAGUUUCCCUCAGGAUAGCUGGCGCUCGUAGCGCACGAGUCUCAUCCGGUAAAGCGAAUGAUUAGAGGCAUUGGGGCCGAAACGGCCUCAACCUAUUCUCAAACUUUAAAUGGGUGAGAUCUCCGGCUUGCUCGAACCGAUGAAGCCGCGAGAUACGGAUCAGAGUGCCAAGUGGGCCAUUUUUGGUAAGCAGAACUGGCGCUGUGGGAUGAACCAAACGUUGAGUUAAAGCGCCCAAAUCGACGCUUAUGGGACACCAUGAAAGGCGUUGGUAACUUAAGACAGCAGGACGGUGGCCAUGGAAGUCGGAAUCCG
This 660-nucleotide ribosomal RNA is filed under the name Attalus aenescens. RNAcentral's name for it is "partial 28S large subunit ribosomal RNA". It matches the Rfam family "Eukaryotic large subunit ribosomal RNA", at positions 657 to 1270 of the family's 3401-position model. Lineage: Eukaryota; Metazoa; Arthropoda; Insecta; Coleoptera; Melyridae. The record is from RNAcentral.